RNAcentral lists this non-coding RNA (28 nucleotides) under Rattus norvegicus (Norway rat). The record is from RNAcentral. Lineage: Eukaryota; Metazoa; Chordata; Mammalia; Rodentia; Muridae.
UAGCAAAGUAGGGAACUGUACCUUUUGA